Molecule: ribosomal RNA, 253 nt
Filed under: uncultured bacterium
Lineage: Bacteria
Description: partial 16S ribosomal RNA
Rfam family: Bacterial small subunit ribosomal RNA
Source: RNAcentral
UACAGAGGGUGCAAGCGUUAAUCAGAUUUACUGGGCGUAAAGCGUGAGUAGGUGGCUCGCUAAGUCGAUUGUGAAAGCCCUGGGCUCAACCUGGGAAUUGCAGUCGAUACUGGUGAGCUAGAGUUCGGUAGAGGGUGACGGAAUUCCCGGUGUAGCGGUGAAAUGCGUAGAUAUCGGGAGGAACAUCGAUGGCGAAGGCAAUCACCUGGGCCUGAACUGACACUGAGACACGAAAGCGUGGGUAGCAAACAGG